AUUGAACGCUGGCGGCAUGCCUUACACAUGCAAGUCGAACGGCAGCACGGGAGCAAUCCUGGUGGCGAGUGGCGAACGGGUGAGUAAUAUAUCGGAACGUGCCCAGUCGUGGGGGAUAACGUAGAGAAAUUUACGCUAAUACCGCAUACGAUCUAAGGAUGAAAGCGGGGGGAUCGCAAGACCUCGCGCGAUUGGAGCGGCCGAUAUCAGAUUAGCUAGUUGGUGAGGUAAAGGCUCACCAAGGCGACGAUCUGUAGCUGGUCUGAGAGGACGACCAGCCACACUGGGACUGAGACACGGCCCAGACUCCUACGGGAGGCAGCAGUGGGGAAUUUUUGGGACAAUGGGCGCAAGCCUGAUCCAGCAAUGCCGCGUGCAGGAUGAAGGCCUUCGGUU
RNAcentral lists this ribosomal RNA (396 nucleotides) under uncultured bacterium. RNAcentral's name for it is "bacterial SSU rRNA". It matches the Rfam family "Bacterial small subunit ribosomal RNA", at positions 30 to 423 of the family's 1533-position model. The record is from RNAcentral.